ACGGCCGGGAGCCAGGGGCCCAGCCGGCGCUGGGGGGGUGAGUACAGCCGUAUGGGUACGGCCGGGAGCCAGUGGCCCAGCCGGCGCUGGGGGGGUGAGUACAGGUGUAUGGGUACAGCCGGGAGCGAGUGGCCCAGCCGGCGCUGGGGGGGUGAGUACAGGCGUAUGGGUACAGCCGGGAGCGAGGGGCCCAGCCGGCGCUGGGGGGGUGAGUACAGGCGUAUGGGUACAGCCGGGAGCCAGUGGCCCAGCCGGCACUGGGGGGGUGAGUACAGGUGUAUGGGUACAGCCGGGAGCGAGUGGCCCAGCCGGCGCUGGGGGGGUGAGUACAGGUGUAUGGGUACAGCCGGGAGCGAGUGGCCCAGCCGGCGCUGGCCGUAUGGGUACGGCCGGGAGCCAGUGGCCCAGCCGGCGCUGGGGGGGUGAGUACAGGUGUAUGGGUACAGCCGGGAGCCAGUGGCCCAGCCGGCGCUGGGGGGGUGAGUACAGGCGUAUGGGUACAGCCGGGAGCGAGGGGCCCAGCCGGCGCUGGGGGGGUGAGUACAGGCGUAUGGGUACAGCCGGGAGCCAGUGGCCCAGCCGGCACUGGGGGGGUGAGUACAGGUGUAUGGGUACAGCCGGGAGCGAGUGGCCCAGCCAGCACAGACAAGACACGGGGCUGCAAGGUGGAACCUCACCAUGAGGACGUCAGUUGCAAGCGGCUGUGUUGCUCUGAGCCGCCAUGCAGUGGGGGGCCUGGACACAACCCACCCCGGAGUUGGCACCAUCCGCCCAGAUCAUGGUCUGCAGGCUUCAUAACCGCCCUUGUGCCCUGCCUUCGCCUGCGGGGCUGAGGUGGCUGUGUCAGCAAACCACCAGGGGGUAGCAGGGAGAUGGGGAGAGAACCCAGGAGUCCGGCUCCCAGCUCUCCAACCACUGGACCCUACUCCCUUCCCAGAGCCAGGGAGAGAACCCAGGAGUCCUAGCUCCCAGCCCCACCCCCUGCUGUAAGCACUAGACCCCACUCGCUCCUGGAACCAGGGAGAGAACCCAGGAGUCCUCGGCUCCCCCCAAGCGGCCUGUGCCCUGCAAGCCCACAUCUCACCCCCUUGUUCUUGGCUGGGUCACUCCAUGGGAGGCAAACCAGGAUUAACUUCGCCCGCCCCCAUCUCUGCUCAACCCCACUAGCUUCCCCUCCAUCCCCAGCAAGGAGAUGGUGGGGUGAGUAAGAGAGACCAGGGUCUUAUCCCCCCAGCACUUCAGAGAGGGGGACACGGAGCAAACCUGGGA
Molecule: long non-coding RNA, 1269 nt
Organism: Gopherus flavomarginatus (Mexican gopher tortoise)
Lineage: Eukaryota; Metazoa; Chordata; Testudines; Testudinidae
Exons: 4
Source: RefSeq, a predicted model, not a curated record